RNAcentral lists this ribosomal RNA (299 nucleotides) under uncultured bacterium. Its description in RNAcentral is "partial 16S ribosomal RNA". It matches the Rfam family "Bacterial small subunit ribosomal RNA", at positions 335 to 652 of the family's 1533-position model. The record is from RNAcentral.
GUCCCUACGGGAGGCAGCAGUGGGGGAUAUUGCACAAUGGAGGAAACUCUGAUGCAGCGACGCCGCGUGAGGGAAGACGGUCUUCGGAUUGUAAACCUCUGUCUUUGGGGAAGAAAAUGACGGUACCCAAAGAGGAAGCUCCGGCUAACUACGUGCCAGCAGCCGCGGUAAUACGUAGGGAGCGAGCGUUGUCCGGAAUUACUGGGUGUAAAGGGAGCGUAGGCGGGCGAGAAAGUUGAAGGUUAAAUCUACCGGCUUAAAUGGUAGCGUGGUUCAAAACUUCUUGUCUUGGGUGAAGU